AGUGAACGCUGGCGGUAGGCCUAACACAUGCCAGUCGAACGGCAGCACAGUAAGAGCUUGCUCUUACGGGUGGCGAGUGGCGGACGGGUGAGGAAUACAUCGGAAUCUACUUUUUCGUGGGGGAUAACGUAGGGAAACUUACGCUAAUACCGCAUACGACCUACGGGUGAAAGCAGGGGAUCUUCGGACCUUGCGCGAUUGAAUGAGCCGAUGUCGGAUUAGCUAGUUGGCGGGGUAAAGGCCCACCAAGGCGACGAUCCGUAGCUGGUCUGAGAGGAUGAUCAGCCACACUGGAACCGAGACACGGUCCAGACUCCUACGGGAGGCAGCAGUGGGGAAUAUUGGACAAUGGGCGCAAGCCUGAUCCAGCCAUACCGCGUGGGUGAAGAAGGCCUUCGGGUUGUAAAGCCCUUUUGUUGGGAAAGAAAAGCAGCAGGUUAAUACCCCGCUGUUCUGACGGUACCCAAAGAAUAAGCACCGGCUAACUUCGUG
Molecule: ribosomal RNA, 492 nt
Filed under: uncultured bacterium
Lineage: Bacteria
Description: partial 16S ribosomal RNA
Rfam family: Bacterial small subunit ribosomal RNA
Source: RNAcentral